Molecule: small nucleolar RNA, 78 nt
Organism: Callithrix jacchus (white-tufted-ear marmoset)
Lineage: Eukaryota; Metazoa; Chordata; Mammalia; Primates; Cebidae
Source: Ensembl
CUGAGCUGAGGAUGAUUUAAAGUUAUCCCUGUCUGAAGUGACAUCUUUUGUGAGGAGAUAUGACUUGCUGAGGCUCAG